Molecule: ribosomal RNA, 941 nt
Filed under: uncultured Omnitrophica bacterium
Lineage: Bacteria; Pseudomonadati; Candidatus Omnitrophota
Description: bacterial SSU rRNA
Rfam family: Bacterial small subunit ribosomal RNA
Source: RNAcentral
AGUGAACGCUGGCGGCGUGGAUUAGGCAUGCAAGUCGUGCGAUCCAUUUUUGCGAGAGUUUUGACGGACUUGUCCGCCGAAGCUUUAGCGAAGACGGAUAGCGGCAAACGGGUGAGUAACACGUGGGUAACUUACCUUAAGAAAGAUGAUAGUUCACCGAAAGGUGAAGUAAUACUCUAUAAUCCUCUGGUAUCUAAGAUACCAGAGGCAAAGAUGGCCUCUAUUUAUAAGCUGUCGUCUUAAGAGAGGCCCGCGUCCUAUCAGGUAGUUGGCAGGGUAAAGGCCUACCAAGCCUAAGACGGGUAACUGGCAUUAGCGUGUGGUCAGUCACACCGGGACUGAGACACUGCCCGGACUCCUACGGGAGGCUGCAGUCGAGAAUCUUUCCCAAUGGGCGAAAGCCUGAGGAUGCGACGCCGCGUGGAGGAUGAAGCGUUUCGGCGUGUAAACUCCUUUUGUUAGAGAAGAAUGUCCUCUGGUAAAUAGCUGGGGGAUUUGACUUUAUCUGACGAAUAAGCCACGGCUAACUCCGUGCCAGCAGCCGCGGUAAUACGGAGGUGGCAAGCGUUACUCGGUUUGACUGGGUGUAAAGGGUCCGUAGGCGGCUAUAUAAGUGGGAGGUGAAAUCUUUCGGCUUAACCGGAAAACUGCCUCUCAAACUAUUUAGCUUGAGGUUGGAAAAGGAGAGUGGAACUGCCAGUGUAAGGGUGAAAUCUGUGGAUAUUGGCAGGAACGCCCGUGACGAAGGUGACUCUCUGGUCCAAUUCUGACGCUGAGGGACGAAAGCUAGGGGAGCAAACAGGAUUAGAUACCCUGGUAGUCCUAGCCGUAAACGAUGGGCACUAGGUAUUUCUGCCUUUGGCGGGAGUGCCGUAGCUAACGCGUUAAGUGCCCCACCUGGGGACUACGGCCGCAAGGCUAAAACUCAAAGGAAUUGACGG